GAUGAACGCUAGCGGGAGGCUUAACACAUGCAAGGUCGAGGGGCAGCAUAGGGUAGCAAUACUCUGAUGGCGACCGGCAAACGGGUGAGUAACGCGUAUGCAACCUACCCUGUACAGGGGGAUAACCCGGAGAAAUUCGGACUAAUAUCCCGUAAUAAUAUCCGGAGGCAUCUUUGGAUAUUUAAAGUUUCGACGGUACGGGAUGGGCAUGCGUAACAUUAGCUGGUUGGUAAGGUAACGGCUUACCAAGGCUAUGAUGUUUAGGGGUCCUGAGAGGGUGGUCCCCCACACUGGUACUGAGACACGGACCAGACUCCUACGGGAGGCAGCAGUGAGGAAUAUUGGUCAAUGGGCGCAAGCCUGAACCAGCCAUCCCGCGUGCAGGAAGACGGCCCUAUGGGUUGUAAACUGCUUUUCCAGGGAGAGAAACUUACGCACGUGUUGCGUGACUGACGGUACCCUGGGAAUAAGCAUCGGCUAACUCCGUG
RNAcentral lists this ribosomal RNA (488 nucleotides) under uncultured bacterium. RNAcentral's name for it is "bacterial SSU rRNA". It matches the Rfam family "Bacterial small subunit ribosomal RNA", at positions 28 to 507 of the family's 1533-position model. The record is from RNAcentral.